This 224-nucleotide long non-coding RNA is filed under the name Carica papaya (papaya). Its description in RNAcentral is "long non-coding RNA (CPAP_LNC006129)". Lineage: Eukaryota; Viridiplantae; Streptophyta; Magnoliopsida; Brassicales; Caricaceae. The record is from RNAcentral.
AAUUUCGAUAGUCCGAGACUUUCUAUAUGUGUUUUUAGAUGAGCUACCCGAACUACCAGUGGAUAUGGAAGUUGAAUUCAGCAUAGACCUCUAGCCAGGCACCCAACCUAUUUCAGUUGCUCCUUACUGUAUGAGCCGUGUUGAGAUGGAGGAACUAAGGAAAUAGAUCACUAAAUUGUAGGACAGUGGUUUUAUCUGACAUAGUGUGUCCCCUUGGGGUGCUG